GCGGAACAGGGUGGGCUUACGCACGGUCUGCCAACACAAGCGAAAACCCGGAAUGCAACCCCCAUGCAAACGGGCAGUUGCCUGUAAUCGACACGGUCUAGACUGUAGAGCUAUUGCACAUCUUUUGUGUGAAAAGUGUUUCUUGAGAUUGUGUACACCCUAUGGGAGCAAUUCACUGUUGUGUUAUUAUUGAAUGUUCUGUCAGCGCAAGUGGUUCAACUUGCCAGAUGGAACAGUCCCUCCUCUCUGAGACUCCAUCCCAGCAUGCUUUUCCGGGGGUUCUCCUGAUCCUCCCAGAGCCAUUUUGGGGGAACACGCAGGCAGGGGGCAGGGAGGAAGAAAAUCACAAGCAAAUCUCUAUAUGAAGGGUUUUUGCUGAAAGGACUCAUGAGGUGACUCCCACCCUAUACCCUUACAGGACAUUCAAAACACAUUAUUUCCCUCAAUUGAUUCUGGACACUGCAGUUUGUAAAGGGUUUCUGGGGUCAGUUUCAGGGUCUAUUUCAUAACCUACAAGCUAUGUAGCCUUUUGUCCUCAGGUAGGGAAAUCAAAGCAUCAACUGAUGCAUGAAUGAGCACAUGAUUUCCUUCUUUGUACAGGUGCCCAUUCAUCCCCACUGCCCAGCAGGAGCAAAUUUCCCUUUGCAAUGGUGUGUUGAUGGUGGUUGGAGCAUGCUGGGCUUGGAAGGGGGAGGGUGGAAAAGAUGUCCUUCCUGGGAGGCAUCUGUGCUCUGGCCACCAAAAGGUCAUCUCAGGGGAGGGAAGGAAGCCCACCAGCACCUGAUUCUUAGCGGCUUGUUCAUGGCGUUCCUUUAUUGCUCCCAUUUCCUUGAGGUGUAUUGAAAGCUACAGAACACCAAAGGCCAAGGAAAUGAACGACUUGGAAUACGGAGGCAAGUGUUCAUCCCCAACCAAGCCUCAACAGUGAGAUGGAGUUCGUCUUUGAGGCAACAAAGCUUGAGCUACCUUCAGCAUCUUUUCAACCAUAAAAUAAAAACCAUUGCAAUGGGGAUGUUGUGGUGUCAUGCAAGUGAAUUUAUGGUACCAUCUUUUGUAUGACUAGAUUGCUGGUUAAGUGUUGGCUGCUUGUUUUUCGAUCUGGUUCUAGAAUUAGACCUGGUUCUAGAAUGGGUGGCUGCUAGCUCUGGAAUCUGUGACUCAGCUGGUAUGGUCCUGUUCAUAUUCUUGACCAUUGGGCCUCUCUAAAAGUAAAUCCCAUUGGUGAAGUGUGCCUCUAAUUUUAAUUCAGAAAACGUUGGAUGCCUCAGAUGUCAAUACCCUGCAAAUCAAGAGAAAACGAAAGCAUUUUUUG
Podarcis lilfordi (Lilford's wall lizard) is the source of this 1312-nucleotide non-coding RNA. NCBI's taxonomy places the organism in Eukaryota, Metazoa, Chordata, Lepidosauria, Squamata, Lacertidae. The record is from the annotation of a GenBank genome assembly.